This 75-nucleotide transfer RNA is filed under the name Goekera deserti. RNAcentral's name for it is "Modestobacter sp. CPCC 205119 tRNA-Val". It matches the Rfam family "tRNA". Rfam says of the family: Transfer RNA (tRNA) molecules are approximately 80 nucleotides in length. The record is from RNAcentral. Lineage: Bacteria; Bacillati; Actinomycetota; Actinomycetes; Geodermatophilales; Geodermatophilaceae.
GGGCGAUUGGCUCAGUGGUAGAGCGCUUCGCUGACACCGAAGAGGUCACUGGUUCGAACCCAGUAUCGCCCACCA